UACGGCCAAAUCACGUUCAAACAUUGGUUCCUGUACGAUCACAAUUGUUAAGCAACGUCAAGCCUGGUCAGUAGCAAGAUGGGUAACCGCUUGGGAAUACCAGGUGCUGUAAG
Molecule: non-coding RNA, 113 nt
Organism: Acanthosepion pharaonis
Lineage: Eukaryota; Metazoa; Mollusca; Cephalopoda; Sepiida; Sepiidae
Source: the annotation of a GenBank genome assembly